This 1104-nucleotide long non-coding RNA is filed under the name Anas platyrhynchos platyrhynchos (common mallard). Its description in RNAcentral is "lncRNA (ENSAPLG00000027859.1)". The record is from RNAcentral. Lineage: Eukaryota; Metazoa; Chordata; Aves; Anseriformes; Anatidae.
GCCGGGAGCCGUUCUGCCGCCGCGCCAGCAGCUCCUGCAGCGAGGGGAAGCCGUCGGCGUCCCCCCCGCCGCCCAGCUGCUGCGCGUGCAGGAGGCAGAGCGCGUCCGGCACGGCGCCGUGCGCCAGCACCUCCAGGCGCGGCAGGGCCAGCAGCAGGAAGGCCAGCGCCGCCACCAUGCCGCCGUCCCCCGCCGGCUCGAGGCUGCGGGCCAGGAGGACGCGGAGCGCGGGGCAGCAGAGGGCUCGCUCCAGCGGGUCGUAGGCCAGGUGCCGCAGGGCGCGGGGUGACACCUUCUUGCAGUGGGACACGUCCAGCUCCCGCAGGCGCCGGCAGCAGGAGCCCACGGCCGAGAGCACCUGGACGUUGGCCUGCGUCUCCGCCAGCCCCAGGCGGCUCAGCAGCGGCAGCUCCUCCACCAGGUCCACCAGCACGUCCGCCGACAGCCGGCUGCAGCCGUGCAGGUCCAGGGCGCUCAGGCUCUGCCGCCGACACACGGAGCCUCCUCAGCAGGGCGCGGGGCUCGGGGGGACCCCACACCCUGCUCCCUAUUACCGGGCAGCCACCCCGGCUGCCUCACGGGGGCUGUGGCUCCCAGCCUGUACCCCCAGUGGGGUGGGUGGUCUCACACCCAGCCUCAGCCCCACGGCAUCGGCUGUGGGAGAUGUGGGGCAGGGAGCCAGGCAGGGCCGGGAUGGAGGGACCCAGAGACCCUCACCCCAGACGCCAGCCAAGGACCGGAGCACCCCGGCUGCCAGCCCCUGUGCUGAGCCCCAGCCCCCAUCCCCACGGGUCAGCCCCAGCCCCCCGAUGGGUGAUUACCCCCGUCCCCGCCGCCCACCUUGCAGCGCACGGUGACGAGCUGGCCGAUGGCGUUGCUGACGAGGCUGGGGCAGGGGCGCAGGCUGAGCUCCUGGAGGUGCGGCACCAGCAGCAGGUGGAGCGCGGCUCGCGUCAGGCGGCGGCUCUCGCCCAGCAGCCGGAUGAGAUCCUGCACCAGGCUGCCGGCUGCAGGUGGGGGGACAUCAGGGGGGGGUCAGCAAGCGGUGCCAGGGUCCCGCUCGCCCUCCUGCCCCCUCGCCCCCCGGCUCACCCAGGUCGUUGA